Molecule: ribosomal RNA, 448 nt
Filed under: uncultured bacterium
Lineage: Bacteria
Description: bacterial SSU rRNA
Rfam family: Bacterial small subunit ribosomal RNA
Source: RNAcentral
GAGCGGUAGAGAGAGGCUUGCUUCUCUUGAGAGCGGCGGACGGGUGAGUAAUGCCUAGGAAUCUGCCUGGUAGUGGGGGAUAACGUUCGGAAACGAACGCUAAUACCGCAUACGUCCUACGGGAGAAAGCAGGGGACCUUCGGGCCUUGCGCUAUCAGAUGAGCCUAGGUCGGAUUAGCUAGUUGGUGAGGUAAUGGCUCACCAAGGCGACGAUCCGUAACUGGUCUGAGAGGAUGAUCAGUCACACUGGAACUGAGACACGGUCCAGACUCCUACGGGAGGCAGCAGUGGGGAAUAUUGGACAAUGGGCGAAAGCCUGAUCCAGCCAUGCCGCGUGUGUGAAGAAGGUCUUCGGAUUGUAAAGCACUUUAAGUUGGGAGGAAGGGCAGUUACCUAAUACGUGAUUGUUUUGACGUUACCGACAGAAUAAGCACCGGCUAACUCUGUG